Molecule: ribosomal RNA, 219 nt
Filed under: Staphylococcus aureus
Lineage: Bacteria; Bacillati; Bacillota; Bacilli; Caryophanales; Staphylococcaceae
Description: partial 23S ribosomal RNA
Rfam family: Bacterial large subunit ribosomal RNA
Source: RNAcentral
GGUGAAAAGCACCCCGGAAGGGGAGUGAAAUAGAACCUGAAACCGUGUGCUUACAAGUAGUCAGAGCCCGUUAAUGGGUGAUGGCGUGCCUUUUGUAGAAUGAACCGGCGAGUUACGAUUUGAUGCAAGGUUAAGCAGUAAAUGUGGAGCCGUAGCGAAAGCGAGUCUGAAUAGGGCGUUUAGUAUUUGGUCGUAGACCCGAAACCAGGUGAUCUACCC